AACGAACGCUGGCGGCAUGCCUAACACAUGCAAGUCGAACGAGACCUUCGGGUCUAGUGGCGCACGGGUGCGUAACGCGUGGGAACCUGCCCUUAGGUUCGGAAUAACUCCCCGAAAGGGGUGCUAAUACCGGAUAAUGUCUUCGGACCAAAGAUUUAUCGCCUUUGGAUGGGCCCGCGUUGGAUUAGCUAGUUGGUAGGGUAAAAGCCUACCAAGGCGACGAUCCAUAGCUGGUCUGAGAGGAUGAUCAGCCACACUGGGACUGAGACACGGCCCAGACUCCUACGGGAGGCAGCAGUGGGGAAUAUGGGACAAUGGGCGAAAGCCUGAUCCAGCAAUGCCGCGGGAGUGAUGAAGGCCUUAGGGUGGUAAAGCUCUUUUACCCGGGAUGAUAAUGACAGUACCGGGAGAAUAAGCUCCGGCUAACUCCGU
This 432-nucleotide ribosomal RNA is filed under the name uncultured bacterium. Its description in RNAcentral is "partial 16S ribosomal RNA". It matches the Rfam family "Bacterial small subunit ribosomal RNA", at positions 29 to 506 of the family's 1533-position model. The record is from RNAcentral.